UACGUAGGGCGCAAGCGUUGUCCGGAAUUAUUGGGCGUAAAGAGCUCGUAGGCGGCUUGUCACGUCGGAUGUGAAAGCCCGAGGCUUAACCUCGGGUCUGCAUUCGAUACGGGCUAGCUAGAGUGUGGUAGGGGAGAUCGGAAUUCCUGGUGUAGCGGUGAAAUGCGCAGAUAUCAGGAGGAACACCGGUGGCGAAGGCGGAUCUCUGGGCCAUUACUGACGCUGAGGCACGAAAGCUAGGGGAGCGAACGGG
RNAcentral lists this ribosomal RNA (253 nucleotides) under uncultured bacterium. Its description in RNAcentral is "partial 16S ribosomal RNA". It matches the Rfam family "Bacterial small subunit ribosomal RNA", at positions 524 to 776 of the family's 1533-position model. The record is from RNAcentral.